GAUGAACGCUGGCGACGUGGAUAAGGCAUGCAAGUCGAAAGGGUUUAGACGCAAGUUUAAAUCCUUGGCGAACGAGGUAGUAACACGUAGGAAUCUGCCCUCAAGUCGGAGAUAACCCAUCGAAAGGUGGAGUAAUAUUCGAUAGUCUUGUAAAAGUAAAGGUUUACCCGCCGCAAGGCGGGCGAGAUCGCUUGAGGAAGAGCCUGCGGGCUAUCAGCUAGUUGGUAGGGUAAUGGCCACCAAGGCGAUGACGGCUAGGGGGNGGG
RNAcentral lists this ribosomal RNA (266 nucleotides) under uncultured bacterium. RNAcentral's name for it is "partial 16S ribosomal RNA". It matches the Rfam family "Bacterial small subunit ribosomal RNA", at positions 28 to 294 of the family's 1533-position model. The record is from RNAcentral.